GAAACCUGGUUGAUCCUGCCAGUAGUCAUACGCUUGUCUCAAAGAUUAAGCCAUGCAUGUGUAAGAAUAAAUAAGUUUAUCUUGAAUCUGCGAAUGGCUCAUUAUAUCAGUUAUAAUCUACAUGAUAGUACCCUACUACUUGGAUAACCGUAGUAAUUCUAGAGCUAAUACAUGCAUAAAAGCCUGACUUCUGG
This 194-nucleotide ribosomal RNA is filed under the name uncultured eukaryote. Its description in RNAcentral is "partial 18S ribosomal RNA". It matches the Rfam family "Eukaryotic small subunit ribosomal RNA", at positions 1 to 193 of the family's 1831-position model. The record is from RNAcentral.